This 73-nucleotide transfer RNA is filed under the name Candidatus Haliotispira prima. RNAcentral's name for it is "Spirochaetaceae bacterium SP-2023 tRNA-Pro". It matches the Rfam family "tRNA". Rfam says of the family: Transfer RNA (tRNA) molecules are approximately 80 nucleotides in length. Lineage: Bacteria; Pseudomonadati; Spirochaetota; Spirochaetia; Spirochaetales; Spirochaetaceae. The record is from RNAcentral.
CGGGCUGUAGCGCAGAGGUUAGCGUACAAGUCUGGGGGACUUGUGGUCGGUGGUUCGAGUCCACCCAGCCCGA